Molecule: ribosomal RNA, 611 nt
Filed under: Sceloclania glenlyonensis
Lineage: Eukaryota; Metazoa; Arthropoda; Insecta; Coleoptera; Scarabaeidae
Description: Clania sp. 'glenlyonensis' DA-2011 partial 16S large subunit ribosomal RNA
Rfam family: Bacterial large subunit ribosomal RNA
Source: RNAcentral
UUUAAAGUCUAACCUGCCCAAUGAUUAAUUAAAUGGCCGCAGUAAUUUGACUGUGCAAAGGUAGCAUAAUCAUUAGUUUUUUAAUUGAAAGCUGGAAUGAAUGGUUGGACGAGAAAAUAGCUGUCUCAAUUUAAAUGUAUUAGAAUUUUAUUUUUAAGUAAAAAAGCUUAAAUGAUAUUGGAAGACGAGAAGACCCUAUAGAGUUUAAUAAAUUUAGAAGUACAAAUUAUUAUGUAAUUUUUAUUUAGUAUUUUUGAUUUUAUUUUGUUGGGGUGAUGGGAAAAUUUAAUUAACUUUUCUUAGCUAUUUUCAUUGAUUUAUGUUUAAUUGAUCCAUUGUUAAUGAUUAUAAGAUUAAAUUACCUUAGGGAUAACAGCGUAAUUUUUUUUGAGAGUUCUUAUCGAAGGAAAAGUUUGCGACCUCGAUGUUGGAUUAAAAUAUACUUUUGGUGCAGAAGUUAAAAAGUUAGGUCUGUUCGACCUUUAAAAUUUUACAUGAUCUGAGUUUAAACCGGUGUAAGCCAGGUUGGUUUCUAUCUUUAAUAAAAUAUUAUAUCUUAGUACGAAAGGACUUGAUAUAUAUAAAAUUUAUUUUGUUAUUGAAUUUUAUUA